GGUGCAGUGGGGAACGGAUCAGGCGGUUCCCUCCUUGUAGAGGAGAGAGAACCGCAGAACCAUCCGGCUCCCGGCGGUUCUGAGCCACCCAGUACCACCA
RNAcentral lists this transfer RNA (100 nucleotides) under Streptomyces massasporeus. RNAcentral describes it as "tRNA-Tyr". Lineage: Bacteria; Bacillati; Actinomycetota; Actinomycetes; Kitasatosporales; Streptomycetaceae. The record is from RNAcentral.